CGCUUGCCAGGCAGCCCGAGAGAGUUCUGGCGAGGGCUGCGGGAAGGAAAGGGGGCGGCGUCCUUCACAGGGAGGGUGCAGCUGACCUCCCUCCCCUUGUGCAGACUGGAAAAGAAUGGCCCAGAUCCUCUGGACUCCUCAGAUGAGCGGAUUCAGAGAGAAGCUUUUGAGAGCGUGCUGGCGGAGACAUUUUUCACAAAAGAGCCCUUGCGGUGCUGGUGUCCGUGGCGUGCCUGGGCCCACCAACGCUGGCCGGCCUCCAAGCACCCGGGCCUCUGCUCAUGUACAGCUCCUGAACUGCCCUGCCUCUGAGUUACUGUGGAAAAUGAGCUUAUAUAUGAAGAAGUCAGCGAGUGGACAAAGCCAGGCGCAAUGGAUAGCAAAGAUGUGGAAGUCUCCUCGAUUCAAGUUACAAGAAAACCGCAGCAUGGAGUCUGCUCUCAGCUGUUGGGGAAUUACCGAUGCCUUUGACUAAGUCAAGACUGACUUUUCCAGAAUAUCACCCAAGAGAUAGAGCCGUCCCUGUCCAAGUUUGUGCGCUAGCCCUUCAUGGAGGUCAGAGAGGAAGAAACAAAGGCAGCUGUGGCCUCGGCGGUCACAGUGUCAGAACGCACAAGCCCCAUAAAGAGGUUUCACGCAGGCCACCCAUCCCUUUUCAUUCUCCAGCAGAACAGGACAGAGAGCGUUCUGUUCUGCGGAAGGUCUUCCACUCUACAAGGCAAUCCCUCCAGCUGCUUUGCUGUAUUGUGCUGUCUCCUGUCACACUAUGAAUGCAGUGACCUCAGCCAGCAACAGGGAGAACCCCCCUGCCUCCCGAACAAAGGACCUCACGUGAAAUCCUGAGCUCAGAGCUUACAGAUAUGUGUGCGCUUUCACUUUACAUCGGCCGUGACUUCCAAACAACUUCAGGAAACUUUAGGAUCUCUGAGGUAUACUGGAGAUGACAGCAGCGUAGAAUGUUCAUUUGGAUUUAGAACAGAAAUGCUUAUUUUAUAUUUGGCUGCUCCCAAACUGUCCCCAGACUUCCUCUCCAGUGGUUACCCUCCACUGCCCUGGAUGUCCCACGUUUACACUCCACACUCACACCUCCACCUUAACAAAGUCCUCCACUGGGUCAAACCAUACAUCGCUUCGUCUCUGUAGUGAUGACUUCCUGUCCUCUGCUCUGUGGAUAAAGACCCCAGAUAAAGAUGCCUGUGUUGCUCAACUCUUGUAAAUACUCUUGAGACAUUUUGAAAGCAGAAGGAAAGGAGACAGACGGGGAAAAUAAAAGGGAUGGUCUGCUUGUGCGGAAACGUUUUGAGAAUGCCCUUCCCUAAGAGAGAACAGUAAAAGUGAGCAAUACUUCCUGAGCUGUGGGUUCAUAUGGCUGGACUGUGCUGUUUCUCACGGGAGAAGUUCUCGUCUCCCCUGCGUGUACAUCCCUGUUUGCCAGCCUGGCCUUCGGUGUGGUGAUAUCAUGGUGCACUCCCAGGAGGGAAGUGCUUGGUCAAGACUUCUGCUUGGGUUCGACUAUCAGUUCUGGUUUCCUUUAAGGCACAGGAUCUUCCCUUUAAGGCACAAACACCCCCUUGACACAAAGUAAGGGACAAGGGAACUUUAAACCAUUUGGAAACCCAAGCACAAUAGGCUGUAGGUUGUAAAAAGAAAUUACAAAGGUAAUUUUAUCCAGAAGAGGGAGCAGUUUAACUUCUGCAGGGUAAGAUUCAGAUUCACUUUUGUAACUGAACAGGGAAUUUUCUAAAUAUUUUGAAAAUGCC
Molecule: long non-coding RNA, 1760 nt
Organism: Homo sapiens (human)
Lineage: Eukaryota; Metazoa; Chordata; Mammalia; Primates; Hominidae
Gene: SERPINB9P1
Product: serpin family B member 9 pseudogene 1
Source: Ensembl